This 253-nucleotide ribosomal RNA is filed under the name uncultured microorganism. RNAcentral's name for it is "partial 16S ribosomal RNA". It matches the Rfam family "Bacterial small subunit ribosomal RNA", at positions 524 to 776 of the family's 1533-position model. The record is from RNAcentral.
UACGGAGGGUGCGAGCGUUAAUCGGAAUUACUGGGCGUAAAGCGUGCGCAGGCGGUUUGUUAAGCGAGAUGUGAAAGCCCCGGGCUCAACCUGGGAACCGCAUUUCGAACUGGCAAACUAGAGUCUUGUAGAGGGGGGUAGAAUUCCAGGUGUAGCGGUGAAAUGCGUAGAGAUCUGGAGGAAUACCGGUGGCGAAGGUGGCCCCCUGGACAAAGACUGACGCUCAGGCACGAAAGCGUGGGGAGCAAACAGG